UGGAUGGCCAAUUGCUCAGAAAGAUCAACGCUCCCUCUCUCUAAGUGCAUCUUCGCCUCUGCAUAAGGCGAUUCCAACAACAGACAGUAGAGAUGGGAAAAGAAAAUCACAGAUCAAGCAUCUAAAUUCCUCCUGAUUUCGUGUUGAUUUUUAAGAUUUCUUUUUUGGACUACUAUUUCACUUUUCUUCUCUGAUUUUGGACUGCAACUUUCGACGGAAAGAAAGAGAAGGAGAUCUGGGUUUCGGUCGAUUAUUUAAUUAUUUUUUUUCCUUUGUUUGUUUCUCGAUCGGUUCGCUUCUCGGCAAACAGGUGAUUGAAAACCCUAGUUCUUGAUUCUUGUGAUUGGUGCUUGUUUACAGUUUAGAUCCUUGCCGUCGUUUUUGUUUUUCAUCUGCUUGUUGAAUGCUCUGCGCAUUAAGCGGUGCUUCACUUUGUCAAUGGCGAUUAUCUGUUGGUUUCUGAGUUUAGGAGGAGUAGAAGUGUUGUUGAGUUGUUUUUGAGUUGAUUCUUACAAGUGAUUAUGAUUUUAGGUCCUUUUUUUGGUAGUCCUGAUUUCGAUUUGAAUCCAAAUACUUGUUUUCUCUGUUCGUCUUCUGCCUUCUGUCAAUUUCUGACCUAAAUACAUGGCGUUGCUUAUAUCUUGUUUCUGAAGUAGCUAUCACCGUUAUUCUGGCUUCAAAUGCCAGAUUUGCCAUAUAUGAUGUCGAACUAUCAAUUUGUGCUUGUGGGUUUGGAUUCUGCAUUCUUGUAUUUCUACUUCCAGUGGCAUUAGCACUGAUCCGAAGUUAGAUGUUUCACAGGAUGGGUAGUCUGAGCACCUUGUGUUUUACCUAGCUUCUGGAAUUUUUAAACCUCACAUUAAACUGGCAACAAUUAGAGGUCUUGAUUAGUGGUGGGCAAAGGUGGAAGUGGGCUAAAAUUGAAAGAAUCUGGAGUUUAUUUUAGUUUUUUAUAUACUGGCCUUUUGAGGAUAAAUACUUUGAAUUUCAGGAUUUUUUUUUUCACUUGAAACUUGCUUUUGCUCUUGCAUUGCAGGUGAGCCGUUACCAUUAGAAUAAUUGGAAAUCUAGCAGCAAUGGCAUUCUGCAAAACGUAUGGUGAGAAGCCAUUGGUUAAUGAGAGAGGAUUAUCAUUGGGCAGCAUGCAUGAUGUUAGAGGUUUGAAAUUCUCUAGCCUUAUCAACUCUGAUUUGACUUGGAAGAAGGUUGCAAAAGGCAACAGGACUUCAUCAAGGCGAGCUAGGAACUUGGUUUCUAGAAGCCGGAAUACUGGUGAGGAACUGAUAAAAAUGGAUUCCAACGCUAUGGACAUGUCAUUUUCUGAAUAUGAGAAGCUUGGAGUAAGUGUUCUUGGGUGCCGCUUUAGUGAGAACGCAGACCUUGUGCAUAUAAAGAAAAGGAAAUUAAUGUUCAGAUCACCCACUCCACCACCCAAAGACCCAUCUCAACAUCCCAAGGAAAAUGAAAGGCUCCUAAAAAGUCAACCUGAAGUAGUUGAUUAUGCUGCAUCUGCAAGUUGCUUGGGUCCAACUGUUGAUACUGAGCAUGAUGUCGGUGAGAAGAAAUUUGAGGGGCAAAAUAAGCAACUUAAUGAAAGGGAAGAAUUCUCUGGUAUCUUCAUACUUGCUGCUACUGCCUGCCGUGAUAGUGUUGGAGAAGUUGAUUAUGAGGAGGAUUAUGGAGUUGAAGAAUCUUAUACACGUGAAGUUUCCUCAAUGGAAAAUCAAUUGUAUCCUCUGUCAAAUAGAGAUGUUAAAGAUGACCAUAGUUCUGCCAAAAUUUCAGUUCAAGAACAUCCUGAAGAGUUUACUGCCUCAUUAAGAUUGCACAAUACUUCUACUGAUGGUAUAGUGGAGUCAAAUAAUUUUCACAAUAAGUCUAUGGAGGAUUGUUCUAUUGCAGUAGUAGAGGAUCACUUAACCAAGAAGUUUCAGGAAACAGAUGUAGUGCAUGUGUUUUCUUCACAAGAUGAUCAUUCAUUUUGGGAUUUGAAUGCUUCAAUAGAUGUAUGGCCACACCCUUUUGAUAAUAAAUGUGAGGAUUCUCAUAUUUCAGAUGGGAUUACUGAAGACAUGAAGGGUGGUAAUUGUAGCAACAUGAUUAGGAACUCAGAAAGUGAGAGCAUGAAAAGGGGAUUUGGAAGUGGUAGAUGUCAUCCUGAAACUGAACUGCCACCAGCAGAUCCUAGUGGGAUAGUUGAUAAGCAACAAUUUUCAAACAUAAAGGAACUUGAAUCGGAUUCAUGGGCUGAUAUUGAUGGGAUUAGUUGCUCAAAAGAAAAAUUGCCGUCUUCUGUUUCAAUUGAUAGUGCUACUGUAUCUUCUGACAGGAAUAAAAGCGCUUCAGCUCAAUGUUUAACUUUGAGCUCCACAGGGAAUGGCAAAAGCUUAUAUCCCCAUCAAGCUACAGGGUUGAAUGGUUGUGCGCAAAACCCUCUUCCCUCCAAAUCCAAUGAAUCUCUUAGGACCUUUAUUUCCAAAGAAAUCUGUGACGUGGCAUCUGCUGAUGUUACUUGUGCAAAGAAUGAAGGUGGUUGUAGCACUAUUGCAUGUGAAACGGUUUCCUCCAGUUUACAGGUUGAGGAAGUGGAGCUUGCUCCUUGUGUGACUUCCUCUGUUAACACCACCCGUGAGACAGAUGUUUCAAAUGAAGAUGCUAAGGGUGCCAAAGAGAAUUCUCUUUCUCAAUUUAAUGAAGUGGAAUUUCUCCCUUCUUCUCCAGGUGUUAAGAUGAUGCAAACCUUAAGUGACUUGGCUCUGGAUUCCAAGGUGAUAUGCAGCAAUGCUUUUAAGUAUGAUGAAACUGAUAAUGUAAUGCAUAAGGAAAGUGAGGAACCUGUGACGAAGUCUUCGGAAAUGUCUAUGGCAUUGUUACAUAGUCCCUCUGAUGCAUACAGAAACAACUCUAAGGAAAUUGUAAAUAGUUUUGAUAAGAUGGCUGUAGAAGAACGUUCUGACAAAGGUUAUAAUUCUGAAUUUUUUCAUGAUGUUCACACUGAUGUGCAAGCAAGUAGGUUUGAGGUGGAUUAUGAUUCUCAGUAUGAAGAUGGAGAAGUAAGGGAAUCUAUGGAGCAUAUCCGGCAAGAAUAUUAUGGUGAUGAUGUAGAAGCUGAACAUGUGGAUUAUGGUUCUGACAGUGAUAAUUUGGGUUCUGGUGCUGAAAAAAUUAUGACAAAUACACAGGGAAUGGAUUUCCAAACUUGUUUGAGUAGAUUGAGAGGCAAAUAUGCAAACGAUAUAGGUAAGACUGGUGGUAACAAUUACAGCAAAUCCAAAAUAUGGACUGACAAUGAGAUUACAGGUGACAGGAUUGAUUCUGGGGUGGACGAUAGGAGGAUUCAGUCAAGAAAUGACAGUGGCUGGCAAGAUAUAAACAAUGAUGAUGCGGAUGGAUUGGAUCCUGUUGAUCAGACAAGUAAGGCAGAGUCCAGAACAUUCAGAAGGGAGUUGUGUUCUCGUAUUGAAGAGCGAGCAGUCAAUGACCUACCCUUUAUAAGGGGCAGGUACUACCUUUUUAUUAGUUUUUUUGCCUUUUUAUUCUGCUGUCUCCCCCUCCUGUUGCCCCUCUUUCAGAUUUUUAGUGGAGAUGGAGCUGGAGCUGUAGUUAUCUUAUAGGGAGGAAAGGAACAACAAUCCCUGAUUUCAUUUUAUCCUCUUUAUUUCCCUCCCCAUGUACAACCGGUCAUCUGAUUGAUGAUCUCUGAGUAAAUUCCUUAGUAUGUUCUUGAAUACAGCGAUGCUGUUGAUUCAAAUACAAACCUGAAUGGGAGUCUUGGUAUGUUGAUUCGUUGAAUCCUUUUGUAGGGGUAGAUAUGCUCAGGAUCCUCAUGCUAGAAGUCAAGGAGAUGAUCGUUUGGUUGAUUCUCAAGCCUGCAGUAGGGGCAUAAAGCACCAUCAUUUGUCCAAGUACCAUGUCCCAUUUUCUUUUCAUCACCUCGGGUCAGCAAAAGGCUUGCACCAACGUGUUAGAAGAAGCGGAUCACCAGACGCUAGAGAUAAGACUCUUGGUAUGCAUCGGCAUAUUAGACCAUUGAGGAACCUUAGUCCUGGUCGGCGUGUGACCCUUGGCAGGGGCAGGUCUAUGAGAUAUGGUCUGCAACUCGAAGGUAGAGGCCCCAGGGGUAGAUACCAUGGUUUUGAAGUUGAUGAUUGCUGCCAUUCUUCUGUGACACAUUCACAUCCUGUAGCCAAGAGAGACAGAAGUUUUUCUCCUAUUAAAAGUAAGGAUCCUCGUGUACAUCAAUCUCACUCAAAAUGUUCUUCAAGAUCUAGAAGUCAAUCUUCCUGUUCUGGGAAUCCAUGUUUUAAAUCCCGAAGUAAAUUCCCCAAUUUUAAAUCUGCAGUCAGAGUGCAGAGAAUGAGAUCACCUGAUCGGAGGCCUGGUCUUUCAGUAGGUAGUGCGAGAGGAUUUAGACCAGCACGAAGAAAUCAUUUUUCACCAUCUCGCAAUACACAAUGGAUUGUUGAUAGGAAGGAUGGUGUUUUUCAUCGUAAGGGGCAGAGUUAUAAUACACAUUCUUCAUUAAGCAGGAGAUCAAUGGGAAGAUUUGUCCAACAGGAUGACAGGUCUGUUGAUUCUUCACGAAGCUUCAGAUCUGUGUUCUCAAGAAGAUUCAGGGAGAUGAGUGGAGCUGGAGGAGGGAGUUCAAGAUACGAAGAGAGUGAUGAUGAUAGGGGCAAGCGUCGAUGCAGAUAUGGGCUAGCUCAUUCUAUGAAGCAAAAUGACAUGGAGGGACCUGUGAAGCGUUUUCGUUAUAAUGUUGCAGAUGGUUAUAGUUCUCGUUAUAGGGAUGUUCCAGAUUCCUUUGGCAAAGAGAGUCCCAAUUGCCAUGGCAGGAGCAUUGCUAGCCAAAUUGGUGACAUUCCAGGGAAGUUCAGGGAAGGUAGAGGGCCAUUUACAUAUCAAAGAGGGGGGAAAUAUGAUGGUGACUCAAAGUCAUCUAGGGGGCAGCAAGGUGACGAUGAGAUGGCUUCAAGGGGAUGAUCUUCUUGACCUGUGUCCCUACUUAUCUCUUAGUGUAUUUGGUUUACAGUGGGCAAAUCAGUAGGUAGAUAUAUACUUUGGAUAAAAGAACCUUUUCCAUUAUCAGUGGAAAGGCAUUUAGAUCCGUAGUUCUCAUUCCCAGCUUUAUUUUUAACUUUUCUUAAUUAGUAUUAUUAUUAUUAUUAUUAUUUUUUAAUUUUAUUUUCUGAUUGCAGACUGUAUGCUAAGCUCCCCAAUUGAAAAAUUGCUCGACUUCAAUUAAAUUGCCAUUUUGAGAAGGUAGUAACAUUUUUGGUUAGAUGAAUUGUGAGUUCGAAGUUCAAAGUAGUAGAAUCUCAUGUUGGAUUGAUUCACCCUUAGCUGUUGUUUUAAGGAAUUGGAUGCUUUGGAAACUAAUCGCCACUUGGGUUAUUUAUUUAUAUUUUUAAUUCCUGGCUUCGUCUUUUCAGAAUCUUCAGCCUAUUUUAACAAAGGCCAUGGAUGCUACCGUAACAGAACGACUG
This 5486-nucleotide unclassified non-coding RNA is filed under the name Hevea brasiliensis (rubber tree). The record is from RNAcentral. Lineage: Eukaryota; Viridiplantae; Streptophyta; Magnoliopsida; Malpighiales; Euphorbiaceae.